Molecule: ribosomal RNA, 1039 nt
Filed under: uncultured soil eukaryote
Lineage: Eukaryota
Description: SSU rRNA
Rfam family: Eukaryotic small subunit ribosomal RNA
Source: RNAcentral
UCCUGCCAGUAGUAUAUGCUUGUCUAAAAGAUUAAGCCAUGCAAGUCUAAGUAUAAGCAAUUAUAUGGUGAAACUGCAGAUAGCUCAUUAUAACAGUUAUAAUCUACAUGAUGAUGUUACGCUACAUGGAUACCUGUAGUAAUUCUAGAGCUAAUACAUGCCAAUUCCUCUCAGCAAUGGGAGGAGGGCUUAUUAGAUUCCCUUGUCAACCUGAGCAAUCAGUGUUCCUGGCAAGUCAUAAUAAUCUCUAGAUCGCAUGCUUAACGGCGGCGAUACAUCAUUCGAAUUUCUGCCCUAUCAGCUGUGAUGUUAGUGUAGUGUACUACCAUGGCCAAUACGGGUAACGGAGGAUUAGGGUCCGAUUCCGGAGAGGGAGCCUGAGAAACGGCUACCACUUCUAAGGAAGGCAGCAGGCGCGUAAAUUACCCAAUCUCGACACGAGGAGGUAGUGACAAGAAAUAACAAUACUGUGGUCUCUUCGGCCUCAGUAAUUGGAAUGAGUACAAAGCAAAAAUAUUAACAACGAACAAUUGGAGGGCAAGUCUGGUGCCAGCAGCCGCGGUAAUACCAGCUCCAAUAGUGUAUGCUAAAGUUGUUGCAGUUAAAAGGCUCGUAGUCAAGUUUUGAUUGCGCUGCACUCGGGACAUUUCCUUUUGGAGUGGCUUCGAUGUGCAGCAAUCAUUCUACCGGAUAGCUAUACUCUCCUUCACUGGGUGGUUGUGUGAACCGGUUCUUUUACUGUGAGACAAUCAGAGUGUUCAAAGCAGGCAAUAUGCUUGUAUGUUUUAGCAUGGAAUAAUAAGAUAAGAUUUUGGUUUCAUCUUGUUGACUAUGUAAAUCAAAGUAAUGACUAAUAGGGGUAAUUGGGGGUGUUAGAAUUUAGUGGCCAGCGGUGAAAUGCGUAGACCCACUAAAGACUAACUUAUGCGAAAGCAUUCACCAAGGAUACCUUCUUUGAUCAAGAACGAAAGUUGGGGGAUCGAAGACGAUCAGAUACCGUCGUAGUCUCAACUAUAAACUAUGCCAACUGGAAAUUGGC